CACUGCUCCUAGUUACCUUAAAUAUCAAGGAUGAACACCUUCUGCUGAGCAGGAGCCCCCCAUUCAAACGCAUCUACUUAAGAGCAGAAUCAAGACAAUCAAGUUUCCAGGAGAAUCAACCUGACAAAGCCCAGUACCAAGGCUAUAUGUUCCUUGUACCAAGAACCACCCAACCAGGAAAGCAAUGGUCAGAAGAAAAUUAGAAAAUUUAAAAAUGGAAUUUCUCAGCACAGCAGAAUUCCUUCGCAAAAAUAAAACAUGAAAAUAAGACUGCAAUCAAAGUAAGCUUCUGAGUGACGCAUUUGUUAACCAAGCAAGGAAAGCCUUUCACCGAGGGAAUUUACAGCUCUUCUCUGAAAGCAGCAGAGGACCACAGCCAAUCCCCGACACCAAGUCUGUUCACACCAUCUCUGGACUUCCUGGUUCCCCCGACCCAGCUACCCUGUUCCAAAGAAGGAAUAAGACCAGUGGACAACCAAUCAACUGAAAAAGCCAGGUAAAUUCUGUAUUUAUCCCAUAAAAAUCCCUUAGUCUGUGAGCAACUCGGAACUCAUUGCUCCCAUAGCCUGAGUUUCCCAGCUGGCCGGUCAAAAGCCUUUCUGCUUUGUUUUAUUCACUACACGGUCUGGCUUUUGACACUUGCUUCUUUAAAAACUUGAAAUAGAAUUAUAAAAGCACUUAAGACAGUAGCUAAAAUGUGAGCAGUACUUUCAAGAGCAUUAAUACUUACAGAAGAAACAAUUUUGUAAGUAGUUUGAUGUGGUCCAUGUUUAAUUUCAAUCUCUUUAUUAUUCUGGCUGCACAUAACCCCUGAAUCAGAGUGCCUAUGAUCAGAAACAUACCAAAAUUCCGAACAGCAAGACUAAGAGGAGACCAAUGAGGUAGAGAGGGUGUAGAAAACUAACAGUUGGUCUAGAAACUCUGAGUUAGAUGGCAGGGGAAAGAAAAGUGGAAGCAGAAGGGACAGAAACAAAGAGAAGCUGAGUCGUCACAGUGGCAGAACAUUGCACAGAGAGCAACAGACGUCUACUCUUAAGGGACAAAAUGAUAAGAUUGAUGGAGCUGCUUCUUAUCAGAAUAGCUUUUAAGUGCUCAUGGAGGCCUGUGUGUCCUGUUCCUUAGCUCUGUGGCUGAUGAGAUUAUUUUGUUCUUUCUCUGUUUUUCAUAUGUUCUUACAACACAAACCAUCAACUGAGGCAACCUGAAGAUGUAUCUGCUCCUUACAACCUACAAGAAGCUAACUGGCGUAGACAAAUAUUUGGGUUGUAUCCAAAAAAAAUCACUGUGAUAACCAGCCUAAAAGAUAAAUCUUUGUCUGUGAUUAAUGUUAUUUCCUUAGGACUGAGCUCUAGAAUAAAAAUUGAGAGGUCAGGGGCCGGCCCAGUGGUGCAGCAGUUAGGUUUGCGCGUUCCGCUUCGGCAUCCUGGGGUUCCCUGGUUCGGAUCCUGGGUGCAGAUAUGGCACUGCUUGGCAAGCCAUGCUGUGGUAGGCAUCCCACAUAUAAAAAAAGUAGAGGAAGAUGGGCACAGAUGUUAGCUCAGGGCCAGUCUUCCUCAGUGAAAAGAGGAGGAUUGGCAGCAGUUAGCUCAGGGCUAAUCUUCCUCAAAAAAAAAAAUUUACAGGUCAAAGGGUAAAGAACUUUUUGAAUACUUCCAAACAGC
RNAcentral lists this long non-coding RNA (1661 nucleotides) under Equus caballus (horse). RNAcentral's name for it is "lncRNA (ENSECAG00000045289.1)". The record is from RNAcentral. Lineage: Eukaryota; Metazoa; Chordata; Mammalia; Perissodactyla; Equidae.